RNAcentral lists this non-coding RNA (24 nucleotides) under Arabidopsis thaliana (thale cress). The record is from RNAcentral. Lineage: Eukaryota; Viridiplantae; Streptophyta; Magnoliopsida; Brassicales; Brassicaceae.
AGUGUAGACAUGGUUGGAGUUGCA